AAAUUGUUAGUUAAAAAAUAACAUAGAUAUGUCAAAUCUAAAUUAUAUAAAUUAUAUACAAUUUA
Molecule: transfer RNA, 65 nt
Filed under: Macrocheles muscaedomesticae
Lineage: Eukaryota; Metazoa; Arthropoda; Arachnida; Mesostigmata; Macrochelidae
Description: tRNA-Asp
Source: RNAcentral